GCAUUGCUGGUUCAGUGGUAGAAUUCUCAUCUUCCAUGUGGAUGACCUGGGUUUGAUUCCUGGCCAAUGCA
RNAcentral lists this transfer RNA (71 nucleotides) under Loxodonta africana (African savanna elephant). It matches the Rfam family "tRNA". From Rfam's summary of the family: Transfer RNA (tRNA) molecules are approximately 80 nucleotides in length. Their secondary structure includes four short double-helical elements and three loops (D, anti-codon, and T loops). The record is from Rfam by way of RNAcentral. Lineage: Eukaryota; Metazoa; Chordata; Mammalia; Proboscidea; Elephantidae.